Rhinolophus ferrumequinum (greater horseshoe bat) is the source of this 117-nucleotide small nuclear RNA. Its record names the gene U5. It matches the Rfam family "U5 spliceosomal RNA". Rfam says of the family: U5 RNA is a component of both types of known spliceosome. The precise function of this molecule is unknown, though it is known that the 5' loop is required for splice site selection and p220 binding, and that both the 3' stem-loop and the Sm site are important for Sm protein binding and cap methylation. NCBI's taxonomy places the organism in Eukaryota, Metazoa, Chordata, Mammalia, Chiroptera, Rhinolophidae. The record is from Ensembl.
GAGUUUGGGUCUCUCUUAAGAUGGAACAAAUUUUGUGCCUUUUCCUAAAAAUUUCCGUGCAGAAAAACAAAUUUGAGGUUUGAUUCAAUUCUUCAAGGUCUUGUAUUUGUGUGCAAU